Molecule: ribosomal RNA, 253 nt
Filed under: uncultured bacterium
Lineage: Bacteria
Description: partial 16S ribosomal RNA
Rfam family: Bacterial small subunit ribosomal RNA
Source: RNAcentral
UACGUAGGUGACAAGCGUUGUCCGGAUUUACUGGGCGUAAAGAGCGCGCAGGCGGUCGAUCAAGUCGAGUGUGAAAGCCCCCGGCUCAACUGGGGAGGGUCAUUCGAUACUGAUCGACUCGAAGGCAGGAGAGGGUAGUGGAAUUCCCGGUGUAGUGGUGAAAUGCGUAGAUAUCGGGAGGAACACCAGUGGCGAAGGCGGCAUCCUGGACCGGCAUUGACGCUGAGGCGCGAAAGCUAGGGGAGCAAACGGG